RNAcentral lists this unclassified non-coding RNA (436 nucleotides) under uncultured Tomentella. Its description in RNAcentral is "sequence contains ITS2". The stretch from base 1 to 155 matches the Rfam family "5.8S ribosomal RNA". The record is from RNAcentral. Lineage: Eukaryota; Fungi; Basidiomycota; Agaricomycetes; Thelephorales; Thelephoraceae.
AACUUUCGGCAACGGAUCUCUUGGCUCUCGCAUCGAUGAAGAACGCAGCGAAAUGCGAUAAGUAAUGUGAAUUGCAGAAAUCAGUGAAUCAUCGAAUCUUUGAACGCACCUUGCGCCCUUUGGCUAUUCUUAAAGGCAUGCCUGUUUGAGUAUCCUGAACACCUCAACUCUCAUGGUCCGCCCUGAUGAGCUUGGACUUUGGGGGUCUUGCCGGCCUAGUGUCGGCUCCUCUCAAAUGGAUCAGCUUGCCAGUGUUUGGUGGCGUCACAGGUGUGAUAACUAUCUACGCUUGUGGUUUUCUGCCAUAUAACCUUCAGUGAUGGAGGUUCUCUGGAGCUCACAGAUGUCUCUCCUUGGGGAGGACAGCUUUUGAACGUUUGAUCUCAAAUCAGGUAGGACUACCCGCUGAACUUAAGCAUAUCAAUAAGCGGAGGCC